RNAcentral lists this ribosomal RNA (915 nucleotides) under Lepiota sp. Its description in RNAcentral is "partial large subunit ribosomal RNA". It matches the Rfam family "Eukaryotic large subunit ribosomal RNA", at positions 40 to 943 of the family's 3401-position model. Lineage: Eukaryota; Fungi; Basidiomycota; Agaricomycetes; Agaricales; Agaricaceae. The record is from RNAcentral.
AUAUCAAUAGCGGAGGAAAAGAAACUAACAAGGGUUCCCCUAGUAACUGCGAGUGAAGCGGGAAAAGCUCAAAUUUAAAAUCUGGCGGUCCUUGGCCGUCCGAGUUGUAAUCUAGAGAAGCGUUACCCGCGCUGGACCGUGUACAAGUCUCCUGGAAUGGAGCGUCAUAGAGGGUGAGAAUCCCGUCUCUGACACGGACUACCAGGGCUUUGUGGUAUGCUCUCAAAGAGUCGAGUUGUUUGGGAAUGCAGCUCAAAAUGGGUGGUAAAUUCCAUCUAAAGCUAAAUAUUGGCGAGAGACCGAUAGCGAACAAGUACCGUGAGGGAAAGAUGAAAAGAACUUUGGAAAGAGAGUUAAACAGUACGUGAAAUUGCUGAAAGGGAAACGCUUGAAGUCAGUCGCGUUGGCCGGGGAUCAGCCUCGCAUUUGCGUGGUGUACUUUCCGGUUGACGGGUCAGCAUCAAUUUUGACCGCUGGAAAAAGGCUUAGGGAAUGUGGCAGCUUCGGCUGUGUUAUAGCCCUUUGUCACAUACAGCGGUUGGGAUUGAGGAACUCAGCACGCCGCAAGGCCGGGUUUCGACCACGUUCGUGCUUAGGAUGCUGGCAUAAUGGCUUUAAGCGACCCGUCUUGAAACACGGACCAAGGAGUCUAACAUGCCUGCGAGUGUUUGGGUGGAAAACCCGAGCGCGCAAUGAAAGUGAAAGUUGAGAUCCCUGUCGUGGGGAGCAUCGACGCCCGGACCAGAACUUUUGGGACGGAUCCGCGGUAGAGCAUGUAUGUUGGGACCCGAAAGAUGGUGAACUAUGCCUGAAUAGGGUGAAGCCAGAGGAAACUCUGGUGGAGGCUCGUAGCGAUUCUGACGUGCAAAUCGAUCGUCAAAUUUGGGUAUAGGGGCGAAAGACUAAUCGAACCAU